Molecule: long non-coding RNA, 382 nt
Organism: Ictalurus punctatus (channel catfish)
Lineage: Eukaryota; Metazoa; Chordata; Actinopteri; Siluriformes; Ictaluridae
Source: Ensembl
GUACUCUGCCGAUUCCAGGAAGUCAGUCGAUCCAAUAGGAUGCGUCUCAUUUAAUCACGUAUUUUUAGAGGUCGCUGAUUGGCGGCCCAAUUAGUCGCGUCGCAGCCUCUGUUUACCGGAAGUGAUUGAGAUUAGGGGGUGAGAGGAUGGGUGUAGAUUGAGAUUAGGAACAUGAAAUGGAGCUCAGAAGGGAAGGAACUGAAGCUUGGACAGAAAGACAACAAACAACAGCUUCUGUUUGUGGAUUUUAAAUGCUUCUGUUUGUUGAAGGGGAAACCUGUCACAUGGCCAUCAGAUGAUGACAAAUGGGGUGAAGUGAGGGAAGAGAGAAGCGUAUGCGAUAUUUUACACAGACAGAGAGGAGAGAUGGAGACAAAGAGAG